GAUGAACGCUGGCGGCGUGCCUAACACAUGCAAGUCGAACGGACUUACAUUGAAGCCUAGCGAUAUGUAAGUUAGUGGCGGACGGGUGAGUAACGCGUGGGUAACCUGCCUUGUACUGGGGGACAACAGUUGGAAACGACUGCUAAUACCGCAUAAGCGCACAGUACCGCAUGGUACAGUGUGAAAAACUCCGGUGGUGUGAGAUGGACCCNGUCUGAUUAGCUUGUUGGCAGGGUAACGGCCUACCAAAGCGACGAUCAGUAGCCGACCUGAGAGGGUGACCGGCCACAUUGGGACUUGAGACACGGCCCAAACUCCUACGGAGGCAGCAU
Molecule: ribosomal RNA, 332 nt
Filed under: uncultured bacterium
Lineage: Bacteria
Description: bacterial SSU rRNA
Rfam family: Bacterial small subunit ribosomal RNA
Source: RNAcentral